UUAUUUUUUUUAGGUCUUUCCACUUUUCUGUGGAAAGACCUAUUGUUUUUCUUCUGAUUAUUUUUUUUUUUUUUUUCUUCCGUCUAAUUUUGUUCUUGCGAUAAAUAUAUGAUUUGCAAUAUGUCGCUUAGAUAUUUGGUAUAUGAUAUCGAACAGUUUAUGCGCCUUUGAAAUUAACCCUGUGUAACCGAAUACUUUUCUUUGUAGGAGUUAUCUCCCCAAACACUGUUUUCCUUGUGUCCACUACUCCUUCGCAACCGUAAAAGAUU
This 269-nucleotide long non-coding RNA is filed under the name Mytilus galloprovincialis (Mediterranean mussel). The record is from RNAcentral. Lineage: Eukaryota; Metazoa; Mollusca; Bivalvia; Mytilida; Mytilidae.